AUGGCCGAGUCCUUGCUUCUGCCUCUAGUACGCGGCGUCGCUGGCAAGGCUGUAGACGCACUGGUCGAGACCGUAACCCGCAUGUGUGGCCUCGACGACGACCGCCGAAUGCUGGAGCGCCAUACGCUAGCCGCUGAGUGCAAGCUGGCGAACGCCGAGGAGAGGAGUGAGACAAACGAGUAUGUCAAGAGAUGGAUGAAGGAGCUCAAGUUUGUCACUUACAAGGCCGACGACGUGCUUGACGACUUCUGGUAUGAGGCGCUGCACCGCCAAUAUAAGAUUGGCAAGUCCACUACCCGCAAGGUACUCGGAUACAUCACGCGCCACAGCCUGUUGCUCUUUCAUUUUGAAAUGAGCAGGAAACUCAAGAAUGUCCUCGAGAAGAUUAAUAAGUUGGUUGAGGAGAUGAACAAGUUUGGAUUGGAGAACUCUGUCCAUAGGGAGAAGUAG
This 450-nucleotide ribosomal RNA is filed under the name Triticum aestivum (bread wheat). Its description in RNAcentral is "partial small subunit ribosomal RNA". The record is from RNAcentral. Lineage: Eukaryota; Viridiplantae; Streptophyta; Magnoliopsida; Poales; Poaceae.